Molecule: ribosomal RNA, 2267 nt
Filed under: human gut metagenome
Description: bacterial LSU rRNA
Rfam family: Bacterial large subunit ribosomal RNA
Source: RNAcentral
UACAAGAAGUCAGAGCCCGUUAAAGGGUGAUGGCGUGCCUUUUGUAGAAUGAACCGGCGAGUUACGUUAUCGUGCGAGGUUAAGUAGAAGAUACGGAGCCGAAGCGAAAGCGAGUCUUAAUAGGGCGACAGUACGAUGAUGUAGACCCGAAACCGUGUGAUCUAGCCAUGACCAGGUUGAAGUUCAGGUGAAACUGAAUGGAGGACCGAACCGACCCCCGUUGAAAAGUUGGCGGAUGAGUUGUGGCUAGGGGAGAAAUUCCAAUCGAACACGGAUAUAGCUGGUUCUCCCCGAAAUAGCUUUAGGGCUAGCGUCGAGGUAGAGUCGCAUGGAGGUAGAGCACUGAAUGUACGAUGGCCCCAUCCCGGGGUACUGAGUAUAAUCAAACUCCGAAUGCCAUGAAGACGUACUCGGCAGUCAGACUGUGGGUGAUAAGGUCCAUGGUCAAAAGGGAAACAGCCCAGACCGCCAGUUAAGGUCCCAAAAUGUAUGCUAAGUGGAAAAGGAUGUGGGGAUGCACAGACAACUAGGAGGUUGGCUCAGAAGCAGCCAUCCUUCAAAGAGUGCGUAACAGCUCACUAGUCGAGUGACCCUGCGCCGAAAAUGUACCGGGGCUAAGCAUACUACCGAAGCUGCGGAUUCAACUUAAGAGUUGAGUGGUAGGGGAGCGUUGCAUGCACGUAGAAGCCGUACCGUAAGGAGCGGUGGAGAGCAUGGAAGAGAGAAUGCCGGUGUGAGUAGCGAGAUGUAGGUGAGAAUCCUACACACCGAUAGCCCAAGGAUUCCAGGGGAAGGUUCGUCCGCCCUGGGUAAGUCGGGACCUAACGCGAGGCCGAAAGGCGUAGUGGAUGGAAAACAGGCAGAUAUUCCUGUACCCGCGAUGGAAAUGAAGGAAUGACGGAGAAGGCUAGUGUGAGCCACUGAAUGGAUUGUGGUCGAAGCAUAUAGCAGGCUGACAGUGAAAUGCGUCAGCGGGAUGUAAGAUGUGACAGGUAAGGGAACGUCCUUGGACAAGUACUGAAGCACAUGAUGCCAGCUUCCAAGAAAAGUUUCUAGUGAUAAUUCCAUAGCGGCCCGUACCAAAACCGACACAGGUGGGCAAGGAGAGAAUCCUGAGGUGAGCGAGAGAACUGUUGCCAAGGAACUCGGCAAAAUGACUCCGUAAGUUAGCGAUAAGGAGUGCUCUUGUAAAAGAGAGCCGCAGUGAAGAGGCCCAAGCGACUGUUUAACUAAAACACAGCUCUCUGCAAAGUCGCAAGACGAAGUAUAGGGGGUGACGCCUGCCCGGUGCUGGAAGGUUAAGAGGAUUUGUCAUCCGCAAGGAGAAGCAAUGAAUUGAAGCCCCAGUGAACGGCGGCCGUAACUAUAACGGUCCUAAGGUAGCGAAAUUCCUUGUCAGGUAAGUUCUGACCCGCACGAAAGGCGUAACGAUUUGGGCGCUGUCUCGGCAGCAGACUCGGUGAAAUCUUAGUACCUGUGAAAAUGCAGGUUACCCGCAACUAGACGGAAAGACCCCAUGGAGCUUUACUGUAGCCUGAUAUUGAAUUUUGAUCAAAGAUGUACAGGAUAGGUGGGAGGCGAAGAGACGUGUACGCCAGUAUACGAGGAGCCGCUGUUGGGAUACCACUCUUGUUUGAUUGAAGUUCUAACCUGCACCCAUGAACUGGGUGAGGGACCGUGUCAGGUGGGCAGUUUGACUGGGGCGGUCGCCUCCUAAAGAGUAACGGAGGCGCCCAAAGGUACGCUCAGAUUGGAUGGAAAUCAAUCGACGAGUGCAAAUGCAGAAGCGUGCUUGACUGUGAGACAAACAAGUCGAACAGGGACGAAAGUCGGGAUUAGUGAUCCGGCGGUGCCGAAUGGAAGGGCCGUCGCUCAACGGAUAAAAGCUACCCUGGGGAUAACAGGCUGAUCUCGCCCAAGAGUUCACAUCGACGGCGAGGUUUGGCACCUCGAUGUCGGCUCAUCGCAUCCUGGAGCUGAAUUCGGUUCCAAGGGUUGGGCUGUCCGCCCAUUAAAGCGGUACGCGAGCUGGGUUCAGAACGUCGUGAGACAGUUCGGUCCCUAUCUGUUGUGGGCGUUGGAGAUCUGAGGAGAGCUGUCCUUAGUACGAGAGGACCGGGAUGGACCUACCGCUGGUGCACCAGUUGUUCCGCCAGGAGCAUAGCUGGGUAGCUAAGUAGGGAAGGGAUAAGCGCUGAAAGCAUCUAAGCGCGAAGCCUACUCCAAGAUGAGAUCUCCCAUUCGUAUAACGAAGUAAGACCCCUUGA